Molecule: long non-coding RNA, 670 nt
Organism: Sorghum bicolor (sorghum)
Lineage: Eukaryota; Viridiplantae; Streptophyta; Magnoliopsida; Poales; Poaceae
Exons: 3
Source: RefSeq, a predicted model, not a curated record
AGGAUCUAUUGCUGAGGCAUAUAUGGCAAGUGUCACCUUGACUUUUUGUUCUAGGUACAUGGAGGAUAUUGAGACUAGAUUUAACCAGGAUGAUGGCAGUGGUGGAGAAAUGCCAUUGCCUGAUGACAUAUCUAUUUUUAAGAAUGGUGUUACUCUUGUUGGAUCUAAUAGGAUCCAAUACAUUGAUAAUGCUGUCCUCAAUAAGUUAGUUUGGUAUGUUCUAAAUAAUUGUGAUGAAGUUGAGGAAUAUGUGGACUUGUACAGGGAAGAGCUACUGCUGCAAGGUGCGCAUGAUGUUAAUAGAAUUGUUUAACAAGGAUUUGCAAAGUGGUUUCAGUGUCAUAUUGAGAACAAACGCAAGGAGAAUCCAGAAUCGAUUAGCGAAGGACUAUGGGCACUGUCAUGUGGCCCAGAUCUACGAGUGAAGACUUGUGCAGCUUGCAAGGUUAAUGGAGUGCGUUAUAUCACUGUGGAUCGUGAGAAGUACCUAAUGACACAAAAUAGCGGUGUAAUGACUGAAGGUUCACAUAAUGGGAGCGACAUAGAUUUUUAUGGUGUCCUUAAAGAGGUAACUGAGUUCGAAUAUAACUCAAAUUUUCAAGUCCGUCGGACAGUGGUUCUGUUUCGAUGCGAUUGGUUCAACCAAGACGGCAAGUCUAGAGGAGCUCGA